AACGAACGCUGGCGGCAUGCCUAACACAUGCAAGUCGAACGAGACCUUCGGGUCUAGUGGCGCACGGGUGCGUAACGCGUGGGAACCUGCCCUUAGGUUCGGAAUAACUCCCCGAAAGGGGUGCUAAUACCGGAUAAUGUCUUCGGACCAAAGAUUUAUCGCCUUUGGAUGGGCCCGCGUUGGAUUAGCUAGUUGGUAGGGUAAAAGCCUACCAAGGCGACGAUCCAUAGCUGGUCUGAGAGGAUGAUCAGCCACACUGGGACUGAGACACGGCCCAGACUCUGCGGGAGGGGGGGGGGGGGGAAUUUAGGAAGGGGGGGGAAGGCAAGAUCCAGCUAGGCGGGGGAAGGAAGGAGGCCUUGGGGGUAGUACAUUUUUUUAACCCGGGGUGAUAUUGACGGUACCGGGAAAAGAAGCCCCGGCUAACUCCGUG
Molecule: ribosomal RNA, 433 nt
Filed under: uncultured bacterium
Lineage: Bacteria
Description: partial 16S ribosomal RNA
Rfam family: Bacterial small subunit ribosomal RNA
Source: RNAcentral